GUUGUUGUUUAUGUAAGAAUUUCAAGGCCACAACUCCAUAUUUGAAGUAAAGUGCUCAUAAAAUUAAUUGCAAGGUUUUGAGAAGCCAUCUGCAGCUCACAACUAGAUGAGUGACACAAUCAGAUGUGCGUAUGCAAAAAAAAGCCUGGAGACAUUGAACUAAGAUCAAAUUUAAUGUAUUAAAUAUGGUAGAAAGAAGAGAGAAUGAAAAAUAAUGUUAACAAUCUAGGUGAGGAAUUGCUGAGGAGACAAAUUAAGUAAAUCCUGUGGAAGGAAAGAAGAAAGGAGGAAAGAGGAUUGGAUGGAAGAAUCUCCACUUCUCAUAGGUGUAGUCCUUCCUUAGCCUGCUUUUUAAUGAGUGCUGCUAAAGCCCUUAGCCUGCCUGUUUACCCUUGGAGUGGAGCAAUGAACUGAAGAUAUUUGAGUGAGUUCAAGAGAGACUCAGAAGAGAAGAAUUGGAGGCAGCAAACAUAGACAGCACUUUUAAUGCUUUUCUCAUAUGCUGUAAGACAUGAAAGCAAUCUAUUGGGAUGAAAGCUGAAAGGAGAAGCGGGACAAGAGAAGUGAAUCCGUGGAAGACCCCCAAAAGAGGCUGCAGAUUCUUAGUGGACAGCUCUCAUAUCCCCUCCAGGGAAAAUGAUGAAAAAUGUCUUCAGAAAAAUAGCUUUAUGAAGGCAAGAGGACUUUUUGCACCUGCAAGACAUGUCUGAAAGCUCCUCAGGUCAAAACACAAGUAGUCAAGAGAUUUGUCCAUCUAAUUCAUCAUACUACUCUGAUCCAAGUGAGACCCACACUGGGUCAGCUCCAUCAAGGAGAAGAACAUUCCACCCACGUUUGGAUUCUGGAAUAUCAUCCUUGCUUCCAUCAGAUUCUUGUAAGUACCUCACUUGGCACAAGGUAGACAUGACGUUCAAGGAAGUCAACUGCGUUGCCCAAGAGUAAGAGAAGGAAUCUCUGAAGAAGAGCAACUUUUCAGACAGGUAGAGUGUGCCUUGCUCCCAAGGAAAAGAGUUCUUGAAAAAAACAAAUGGGAAACAUGGCUACAAGAAAACUGGGAAGACUGCAAGAAUUUGAACAUUUCAUUUCAGGGUUUGGGGGAUCCUUACCAAGUUGAAAAUUUUAACAGAAUUCUUAGAAGACUAAUUCGAGUUGAAACCCUCUGAGUAUUCUCCUGUUUGCCAAACUUAAAAAUGCUGGAUGGAAUCUUGAAGCUACCAGAAGAUUGCUUAUCACCAGAAACCAAUAUUUUUUCAAAAAUAUGCCUUGUAUCCUAAUGCAGUCUGUAUAGAAAGAAAGCAAUCAUCAUUGUUGCUAAAAGCUAAUAAACACAGGACAUGCAUGAU
This is a long non-coding RNA of Homo sapiens (human), 1343 nucleotides long. Ensembl annotates it as leucine rich repeat containing 77, pseudogene. Its record names the gene LRRC77P. NCBI's taxonomy places the organism in Eukaryota, Metazoa, Chordata, Mammalia, Primates, Hominidae. The record is from Ensembl.